This 303-nucleotide ribosomal RNA is filed under the name uncultured bacterium. Its description in RNAcentral is "bacterial SSU rRNA". It matches the Rfam family "Bacterial small subunit ribosomal RNA", at positions 355 to 675 of the family's 1533-position model. The record is from RNAcentral.
UGGGGAAUAUUGCACAAUGGGGGGAACCCUGAUGCAGCGACGCCGCGUGAGUGAAGAAGUAUUUCGGUAUGUAAAGCUCUAUCAGCAGGGAAGAAAAUGACGGUACCUGACUAAGAAGCCCCGGCUAACUACGUGCCAGCAGCCGCGGUAAUACGUAGGGGGCAAGCGUUAUCCGGAUUUACUGGGUGUAAAGGGAGCGCAGACGGCUGUGCAAGUCUGGAGUGAAAGGCGGGGGCCCAACCCCCGGACUGCUCUGGAAACUGUAAAGCUGGAGUGCAGGAGAGGUAAGCGGAAUUCCUAGUG